Molecule: small RNA, 724 nt
Filed under: Pongo abelii (Sumatran orangutan)
Lineage: Eukaryota; Metazoa; Chordata; Mammalia; Primates; Hominidae
Description: retained intron
Source: RNAcentral
GGAACAACAGCCGCUUGCAGGCCGAGCUCUGCCAGAAGCAUUGGCAGGACCUGCCUCCCAGUAAGUGCCACAGCACCACCCAGAACCCCCAGAAGGAGACCAGCAGCAUGUGGGGCCUGAUGGUGGUUGCCCAGCUGCUGGCUGGCAUCGGGACAGUGCCUAUUCAGCCAUUUGGGAUCUCCUAUGUGGAUGACUUCUCAGAGCCCAGCAACUCGCCCCUGUACAUCUCCAUCUUAUUUGCCAUCUCUGUAUUUGGACCGGCUUUCGGGUACCUGCUGGGCUCUGUCAUGCUGCAGAUCUUUGUGGACUACGGCAGGGUCAACACAGCUGCAGUUAACUUGGUCCCGGGUGACCCCCGAUGGAUUGGAGCCUGGUGGCUAGGCCUGCUCAUUUCUUCAGCCUUAUUGGUUCUCACCUCUUUCCCCUUUUUUUUCUUCCCUCGAGCAAUGCCCAUAGGAGAAAAGGUAAGGUUCCAAGAGCCCAUGACUCUACCUGUCCUAGGAUGUGUAAGAAAGGGAUGUGGGGGUAGAAAAUAAAUAGAGCUAAAAAGCUGCAGCAUGUUAAGCAAAUUCAGGAUGAAAUCUAAACAAAUUUCAUGAUGCAGGACUUCCCAGAGGCUUUGAGAGGUGAGGGUGUUGGUGAAUUUCCAAAAGGUGGUAUCUCCUAUGUGUUCCCGUGCCAUGUUAGCAUCUCAAGGAUCAGGAGACCUCCAGGGAACAGUUUG